RNAcentral lists this ribosomal RNA (301 nucleotides) under uncultured bacterium. RNAcentral describes it as "partial 16S ribosomal RNA". It matches the Rfam family "Bacterial small subunit ribosomal RNA", at positions 509 to 809 of the family's 1533-position model. The record is from RNAcentral.
CAGCCGCCACGGGAAUACGGAGGGAGCUAGCGUUGUUCGGAAUUACUGGGCGUAAAGCGCGCGUAGGCGGUUACUCAAGUCAGAGGUGAAAGCCCGGGGCUCAACCCCGGAACUGCCUUUGAAACUAGGUGACUAGAAUCUUGGAGAGGUCAGUGGAAUUCCGAGUGUAGAGGUGAAAUUCGUAGAUAUUCGGAAGAACACCAGUGGCGAAGGCGACUGACUGGACAAGUAUUGACGCUGAGGUGCGAAAGCGUGGGGAGCAAGCAGGAUUAGAUACCCCAGUAGUCCCUGUCUCUUAUAA